CCUACGGGUGGCAGCAGUGGGGAAUAUUGGGCAAUGGGCGCAAGCCGGACCCAGCAACGCCGCGUGAAGGAAGAAGGCUCUCGGGUUGUAAACUUCUGUUAUCAGGGAAGAAGAAAGUGACGGUACCUGAUGAAUAAGCCACGGCUAACUACGUGCCAGCAGCCGCGGUAAUCCGUAGGUGGCAAGCGUUAUCCGGAUUUACUGGGUGUAAAGGGCGUGGAGGUGGGAAAGCAAGUUGGAUGUGAAAACCAUGGGCUCAACCUGUGGCCUGCCUUUGACACUGUUUGUCUUGAGUACUGGAGAGGCAGGCGGAAUUCCUAGUGUAGCGGUGAAAUGCGUAGAUAUUAGGAGGAACACCAGUGGCGAAGGCGGUCUGCUGGACAGCAACUGACGCUGAGGCGCGAAAGCGUGGGGAGCAAACAGGAUUAGAUACCCCUGUAGUC
Molecule: ribosomal RNA, 443 nt
Filed under: uncultured bacterium
Lineage: Bacteria
Description: partial 16S ribosomal RNA
Rfam family: Bacterial small subunit ribosomal RNA
Source: RNAcentral